GAUGAAGAACUUAGCGAAAUGCGAUAAGUAAUGUGAAUUGCAGAAUUCAGUGAAUCAUCGAAUCUUUGAACGCACAUUGCGCCCGGUAGUAUUCUGCCGGGCAUGUCUGUUCGAGCGUCAUUUCAACCAUCAAGCCCCAGCGCUUGUGUUGGGGGCCUGCGGCUGCCGCAGCCCCCUAAAAGCAGUGGCGGGCUCGCUAUCACACCGAGUGCAGUAGUUCAUCUUCUCUCCGGUCUUGUGAGGCGGGUUCCGGCCGUGAAACACCCCACUACAUUCAAGGUUGACCUCGGAUCAGGUAGGAAUACCCGCUGAACUUAAGCAUAUCAAUAAGCGGAGGA
RNAcentral lists this unclassified non-coding RNA (338 nucleotides) under soil metagenome. RNAcentral describes it as "partial contains 5.8S ribosomal RNA, internal transcribed spacer 2, and large subunit ribosomal RNA". The stretch from base 1 to 120 matches the Rfam family "5.8S ribosomal RNA", at positions 35 to 154 of the family's 154-position model. The record is from RNAcentral.